AUUGAACGCUGGCGGCAGGCCUAACACAUGCAAGUCGAACGGUAACAGGAAGCAGCUUGCUGCUUUGCUGACGAGUGGCGGACGGGGGAGGAAUGUCUGGGAAACUGCCUGAUGGAGGGGGGUAACUACUGGAAACGGUAGCUAAUAACGCAUAACGUCGCCAGACCAAAGAGGGGGGACCUCCGGCCUCUUGCCAUCGGGAGGUCCCAGAUGGGAUUAGCUAGUAGGUGGGGUAACGGCUCACCUAGGCGACGAUCCCUAGCUGGUCUGAGAGGAUGACCAGCCACACUGGAACUGAGACACGGUCCAGACUCCUACGGGAGGCAGCAGUGGGGAAUAUUGCACAAUGGGCGCAAGCCUGAUGCAGCCAUGCCGCGUGUAUGAAGAAGGCCUUCGGGUUGUAAAGUACUUUCAGCGGGGAGGAAGGGAGUAAAGUUAAUACCUUUGCUCAUUGACGUUACCCGCAGAAGAAGCACCGGCUAACUCCGUG
This 490-nucleotide ribosomal RNA is filed under the name uncultured bacterium. RNAcentral's name for it is "partial 16S ribosomal RNA". It matches the Rfam family "Bacterial small subunit ribosomal RNA", at positions 30 to 507 of the family's 1533-position model. The record is from RNAcentral.